Molecule: ribosomal RNA, 497 nt
Filed under: uncultured bacterium
Lineage: Bacteria
Description: partial 16S ribosomal RNA
Rfam family: Bacterial small subunit ribosomal RNA
Source: RNAcentral
GAUGAACGCUGGCGGCGUGCCUAAUACAUGCAAGUCGAGCGAACGGACGAGAAGCUUGCUUUUCUGAUGUUAGCGGCGGACGGGUGAGUAACACGUGGAUAACCUACCUAUAAGACUGGGAUAACUUCGGGAAACCGGAGCUAAUACCGGAUAAUAUUUUGAACCGCAUGGUUCAAAAGUGAAAGACGGUCUUGCUGUCACUUAUAGAUGGAUCCGCGCUGCAUUAGCUAGUUGGUAAGGUAACGGCUUACCAAGGCAACGAUGCAUAGCCGACCUGAGAGGGUGAUCGGCCCCACUGGAACUGAGACCCGGUCCCGACUCCUACGGGAGGCAGCAGUAGGGAAUCUUCCGCAAUGGGCGAAAGCCUGACGGAGCAACGCCGCGUGAGUGAUGAAGGUCUUCGGAUCGUAAAACUCUGUUAUUAGGGAAGAACAUAUGUGUAAGUAACUGUGCACAUCUUGACGGUACCUAAUCAGAAAGCCACGGCUAACUACGUG